GACAGAGGCCCCGAGCGUUAGGCGGAAUCACUGGGCUUAAAGCGUGUGUAGGCGGACCCCUAAGUGUCUUGUGAAAUCCCACGGCUCACCCGUGGAACCGCUGGGCAUACUGGGGGUCUCGGGCCGUUCAGGGGCGACUGGAACAAGCGGUGGAGCGGCGAAAUGCGUAGAUAUCGCUUGGAACACCGAAGGUGAAAACAGGUCGCUGGGGACGCGCCGACGCUGAGACACGAAAGCCAGGGGAGCAAACGGG
RNAcentral lists this ribosomal RNA (253 nucleotides) under uncultured bacterium. RNAcentral describes it as "partial 16S ribosomal RNA". It matches the Rfam family "Bacterial small subunit ribosomal RNA", at positions 524 to 776 of the family's 1533-position model. The record is from RNAcentral.